Molecule: non-coding RNA, 7466 nt
Organism: Manis javanica (Malayan pangolin)
Lineage: Eukaryota; Metazoa; Chordata; Mammalia; Pholidota; Manidae
Source: RefSeq, a predicted model, not a curated record
AUGAACUGAGACGUGAUGUAAUAUAAAAUAUACACUGGAUUUGGAAGACUUAGUACAAAAAGCAAACUAUCCAUUACCUGUUUUUUAAAUAUUGAUUAUAUGCUGAAAUGAUAAUAUUUUGGAUAUACUAGGUUAAGUAAAACACUAAAAUUAGUUUCAGCUGCCUACUUUUUACUUUUUUAAAUUGAUUCCACUAGGAAAUUUUAAACUGCUCCUAUGGCUUGCAUUCCGUCCGCGUGGAGAGUGUGGGGAGUCUGGCAUGAUCAGAGAGCCCUGGUGAAGAGGGAUGCCUGUGUGCUGCCAUUUAUUUUUGCAUCGAAACAUUUUCCUAUCUGGUGGCCGUUUUCUCCUGACUGCCUGCGCCGGUUCGAGCUUCUGUGCAUGUGGAUGGAAGCCCUGGGAUCUGGCGUUUUGUCUUGUUCCUAAUCUCAGGCUCAGAGCGUUCAGUGUUCCAUCAUUAUGUAUGUCAGCUGUCGAUUUUUCAUUGAUUAUCAGUUUGAGGAAGUUCCUUACUAUUCUUGCUGAGAAUUUUUAUGAAGAAUGCAUGUUGGAUUUUGUUAAAUGCUUUUUCUGCAGCUACUGAGAUGAUCAUAUGGGAUUUUUUUCCUUUGUUAAUAUGAUAAACUAAGGUUUGAUGUUAGUCAACAUUUCAUUCCUGGGAUGAACCAUACUUGGUCAUUAUAUAUUAUCCUUUAUUUGGAUUUGAUUUGCUAAAAUUGUUUCUAAUUUUUGCACAAUGUUUAUGAUGGAUAUUGGUCUAUAGUUUUCUUUGUCAUGUUUUUUUCCCCUGCUGGUUUUGUUAUCUGCUGGCCCCACAUAAUGAAUGAGGAAGUAUUCCCUCUUUUUCAUUUUCUGGAAAAGUUUGUAUAGCAUUGGUAUUAUUUCCCCCUUAAAUUUAUGUACUUUCUAAUUUUUCUCUUUCAAUUUCUACUUUGAACUCAUGGGCUUCUGAAAAGUAUCUAUUUAAAUACCUAAUAUUUGGGGGAUUUUCCUAGGACCUUUGUGUUAGUUGCUGUAUCAUUCCUGUCACUCAUGUCACUUACAUGAUAGCACAUGUAAGUAUAUAUUAGAAAUACACACAAGCACCCACACUUGAGUACACUGUUGCCAUUACUUUGAAAACUUAUCUGUUAGAUCAGUUUAGAGUAAGAAAAAUAAGGUUUUUAUUUUACAUUCAUGUAUUCCUUCUCUCUGAAGAACUUCUUUCUGACAUAUUGCAAGGCUGGCCUAAUGGCAACGAAUUCCCUUUUUUGUUUGCCUGAGAAAGUCCAUUUCUCCUUCACUUUUGGAGGAUGAUUUCACAGGGUGCAGAAUUCCCGGUCGCUGUGUCCCUUUCUCCUUACGCCCGAGGUCUUCCACUCCCCCCUCUGCGUGCACGGCUCCGAGGGGGGCUCCGCAGGGGCUCUGGCCCUUGUCUGCCCCUCCAGAGCUGAGGCGCUCGCCUCUGACUUUCCGCGCUCCCUCCUCGCCUCUGCUCUUCUGUACAUCGAGGGUGAUGCACGCCUGGCUAUAGUCACUUGGCAUUCACCCUGUUCGGUUUUCGAGUUUCCUGGCGUGUGGAUCGGCGUCUGACGUGAAUUUUGGGAAAGUCUCCGUUACCACUGUGUCAAGGAUUUCUUCUGUCCCUUGCUUUCUCCUCCUCUGGUGACCCCAUUAUGUGUCUGUCAUGCCUGCUGCAGUCCCACAGUCCUUGGAUAUUGUUUUCCUCAGUUUCUUAUUUUUUUCUUUUUGCCGAGAUGCCCUCAAGCGCAGACACUGCUUCCUCAGCUGGGUGCCCUCGGGGGGUCCGUCGGUGCCGCGCGCCCUUCUCCCCAGCGCUCCUCCUUGGCUCUCUCCCGGGCUUCCCGUCUCUGCUUAUGUUGUCCGUCUGUUUCUGCAUGAUGUCCACUUAUCCAGGGCACAGUGGUCACAGUUAUUUCAAAUUCUGCCUGACGUGUUUUCCCACAUCCCUGCCACGUCAUGCUGCGUCUCCGAAUCGUGCUUUUGCCUUUCGGUGGCCUCGCGGUGUUCUUGGUAGGUGGACAUGCGGCAGGUGAAGGGACGUCAGUCGCGCGGUGGUGCGGCUGGGGAGGGAGGCGCCCCAUUGUCUUGGACUCCGGCUGUUCUAGGAGGGCCAGUGCCUCCAGACUCAACUUCCCAGGCGUUUCUCGGGUGUUCCCUCUGCCCCCCCAGCCCUCCUCACACGGGAGAGGACGGCUGGGGUGCGUACGUUCUUCCCUCGGGCCCGGUGGACCCGGCAAUACAGCAGCAGUCACGCUCCGGCGGACUCGUUUCUCCCGAGCGCCGACUCUGCUAAGAACUGUGUUGCGGCAAAUAGCGCAGUGGCUCCUUUUCCCUCCCUCUGCCAGACAUCGUGGGGAUGUCUCCUCCCAUGUUUGCUGUGGAAGCCUUGCGGAGCUCACGGGAGCGAGUCCCACAGAAGGGGGUCCCUCCAUGGCUGGGUCCCCUAGAGUCCCGAUUCUCAGUCACCCCUGGGUGCCCCGGGAAUGGGCCGCACGACAGUUCAGGUCUUCCUCCCUGGGCCCUGGUUCCCGAGGUGGUUUCUGAAGUCUCUCUGCUCUGGUAGCCGCGACGCACUGCAUUUGAACCCCCCACUCUGAUUGGGGGGCAGCUACUUGCCCUGUGUCCUCACCUCUCUUACAGAUCCGAAAAGAGUGAGUGCUUUUUCGGUUUGUUCAGCUCUUCACUUUUUGAUAGGAUUGGUGGUGGCUCCCCCUUCCUACUGCAGAGGAGGAAACGCAAGGCCUCCUGUCCCUCUGACCACCCAGGGUCUGUGUCUCAGGCGUGUGUACCUCAGGCAGCUGGCACGUGACGUGCCUUUUCUGCAGUGUUUCAGGCGGCCUUUUAAUGGAGGUAUUGAGAGCAUUUAUGUGAUUAUUGAUAUGCUUAAGUCUAAGCCUCUGAUCUUGCUAUUUUCUAUUUGUUUAAUACUUUGUGUUCCUCUUCCUCUGCUUUUUUCUUGGAUUGAGUAUAUUUUUAUAUUCUGUCUGAUAUGCUUCAUUGGCUUAUUUGACGUGCCUCCCUUUUGUCACUGCGGUGUUGCCUCGGGGCUGCUCUGUCCCCCCUCAGGAGGCGCCGCCCCGCACAGAACAUCGCAGUACCAUCCUCCUCCCUUCUUGGCCUCCACGCUGCUGCCGUUGUAGGUCUUACUUUCACAUAUGUUAUGAUCUGUGCAGUUCAUCAUUAUAUUCGUUUAAACAAUCAAUUACCUUUAUAUAAUUUUCUUGAUAUAGAGAUACAGAGAUGAUAAGAGAAAAUACGUGUUCACCUACAUAGUCACCAUCUUCUUCUGUGCAGAUUUAUAAGCAGUUUCUUGCAGUGCAGGUCUACAGGUUCUGGCAGCUUUCUGAGAAACUCUGCCAUUGGCCUUUGAUUCGAGCAGUGUUUUUGCUGGAUACAGGCUGACAAUUAUUUUUCUUUUAGUACUGAAAUGUUGCUCCACCUGGCUUCUUGUUCCCAUUGUUUGCAACAAGAAAACUAUCUUAUUGUUGUUCCUUGGUGUGUGUCUUUUUUCCUCCAGCUUGUUAAGAUUUAGCACUGGUCUUAGCCAUGUGAUUAUAAUAUGCACUGGCAGAGCUUUCAUACUUCUCGUGCUUAGGGUUAGUUGAACUUUUUAGAUUUGUGUGUUUAUAAAUAUCAUCAAGUUCAGAAAUUUGAGGCCAUUAUUUCUUCAGAUAUUUCUGUUGUACCCCACGCUUCUGUCCGUCGGGACUGCAGUCAUGCGCGCAUGGGCCCCGGGAGCUCCUGUAUCACUGCCUCGGGUGCCUCUGCGUCUCGCUCUGGGUGGCGCUCCCGGCACUGUCUUCAAGUCCACUAAGCUUGCCUCGUUCAUUGUCCCAUUUGCUGUUAAUACUCUUCAGUGUACAUCUCGCAUAUUGUAGUUUUCAUCUCCAGCAGUUCAAUUUGGGUCUUUUAAGAUCCUCCAUGUCUCUACUUAACUUCUGAACAUAUGAAAUACAAGUUAUAAUAAUUUUAGUUUAUGUUACAUUAAUUUGUAUCAAUGUCAAUUUUAUAACAACUUCAAUGGUCUUGUCUGUUAAUUCUAACAUCUGUAUCAGUUCUGGGUUGGUUUGAAUUAAUUUUUCUCCAUAUUAUGGGUUUUACUUCUCUGGUAUUUUGCAUGCCUGAUAAUUCUUUUUGAAUUUACUGGAUGUUGGAUAUUUUUGUAUUUCUAUAAAUAUUCUUUAUUUGUUGUAGGACUCAGUUAACUUGGGAAUUGAUCUCUCUGGGUUUGCUUUUAAGUUGUGUUAGGUGGGACUGGAAUGAUGUUCAAUCUAGGGCUAAUUACUCCCCUCCAGCCCAGUGAGCCAAGACCCUUCUGUACACCCCACCUCAUGCCCCAGGAGUUGUGAGAUUUUCCGGUCUGACUGGUGCCCUACUCCAGCGUUUGGCUGACUGCUCGGGAGGCUCCCUCUGUAGUUCUCUGAGGAAUUCUGUGUAGCCCCUGCUCCCCAGGGCACCGCCCUACAGAUCCCAGCUGUCCUGGCCGGCUCUCAGUCCCACACAAGGAGUGUGUCCGGCUCUGCAGAAUGAGGCACGGCAGGAUUUACAGUGCCUCUGUGGAAGCUGCACGCUAACUGAAUUUGAGAGUUCAAAAAGCAGUUUCUCUGCAUGGAGAUUGAAGUGAUUGAGCAUAACGAGUGCUAAGUGUCAACAAAAGCAAUUCCUUACUCUGUAGGUACCCUUGAAAUCUAUUUUAUUUUUAAAAAUCAUUCUGAUGUCUACUCUAAUAGGUAUCUUAAAACAAUAAUUUCUUAAAAUCUCUGCUGAUAAGCUUUACAAAACUGUUUGCAUUCUGUUUUUAUCCACGAGAUUGAAAUAAUGGGAAAGCUGAAUGUUCAUGAGGAAAAAAACUGAGCUGCAUGAUGGGCAUUUCUGAAAAAUAACAAAGUAAAAACUUUUACUUAGAUUUGCACCGAAGACACCAUAAAUUUCCUCAAAAUAUAAAAUUUGACAUAUACUUUUUACUACCACUGACACAUAUAUGUAAUGUAGGACUUCCAGUUUCUUCCAAUCUAGAACACAGGGUGAUCUGGAGAUACAGUAAAUUGAAUUAUUUAUUACAGGUCUGUAUAACCGGUAGCUGUGUAAUUCCAUAUGCCAGGAUGCAAACGAAACCAAGAUUCUAGGUCUAACCCCUGAACAGGUCAGUUCGACAGAGAAUCCUAAUUGGUGCACUAUUAUGGACUGAAUGGAUCUCCCCAAAAUUCACAUGUUGAAGCCCACCCCCCAGUGUGACUGUCUCUGGAGAUGGGGCCUUUACGGAGGUAAUUAAGGUCAAACGCAGUCAUAGGACUGGGCUCUGGUCCAACAGAUCAGCGGCUUCCUAGGAGGAGAGCAGAGAACCUGCAAGCUUUCUCUCCACCACGCCCGGACACGGUGAGAAGGCCCCGUCUGCAGGCCGGGGAGCUCCCCGGAAACCGCCCUGCUCGCCGACACCGGCACCAGGACGCGGCCCCUUUCCUCCUCAGUGACAGAACUCUCGAGGGGCAGCCGGGCGUCGGCCACCGACUGCAUUUCCAAGUGUCCCGUGAACUGGACGCGGCUGGGUUCUGACUAAAGUGAUGGACGCGGCCUGACGGGUCAGUCCCUGGGGGGGAGCGGGCUCUGUCCCGCCGCCCUUCUCCUCUCCCCCUGGUCGGGAGGCAGACGUGGUGUGGCGGCGAGAACCGCAGCACCGUGGGCGCAACAGCCAGGAGCCGCCGGCGGGGCCCGAGCUCACCUGGCACCGGGCUGGCCGGCCGGCCACUUCUCGGUGUGUGCGGAGAGGAACUCGGAUCUUGUUCCAGCCAGUGUGUGUUUUGGGUCAUUUGUUAGAGCAUCUUAGGUUUGUUCCCUAACUAAUUCAGUUUUUUAUUUUCACUAUACAUUGUUAAAUACAUAUUUCAGGAAUAGUCUGAAAUGACACAUGCUUAUUAUUAUUUUAGAAUACAGUUUAAAUUUUCUUAAAAUUCAUUCUUGAAGUGGGGCCCGUCCAGGCAUUUUUCUGGCAAAUCAGCAAUGGCAGUAAUGGGCCCUUGACAGCUGCAGCUGCAGUCUACCUUUAUAUUAGGGUAGCACGAUCAAUUGGAGUGGUUAUAAAACUUACAAUAACCAACUUUACACUAUACUACAAUACUUAUUUUUCCUGAACAUUGACUGACUGUAGAUCCCCAACCCUGUUAAGAUUUUAGGAAAGAAGGUAAAGAGAAAAAAAGUGACUCAAAUGGUACUUUGACUUAAUAGGAGUCAGAACUAUCUGCUGAUGACUGUCUUUUGAAUUUCAUGAAACUGCACGGAGUAGCCUUAUAGAUCCCCUGCCAUAAAGCAGUGCCUGAACAAAAUGUCAGAUAGACUGUAGAUAGCGGUAGUUCUUUUUACCAAAUAGCUCUUCAAAAUGGCGAUACUGGUAGGUGUCACAUGAGAUUAAAAUGGAAGAGGAAUUAAUUUAAAAGCAGGAAGAAAAGUCCUCUUUAAAAACUGGUGUUUACUCCUAAGUAUGCUAAAAAAAUUUAUAGAAAUAUACCUGCUUUCCUAGGAAACAUGCAACAUCUUUAAGGCAUCUUGGUAUUCUUUGCUAAGGAAAAGGACAUAAGGAAGGAUGUGAAAACUGAGCAGGUGGCAAGAAAGAUGCUAGUUCUUUCCUCCCCAUUUCCUCUCACCCCAAGUCAUUUGAGGCAAACCUAUUUCCAGGGAAUCAGGGUAAAUAUGUGGUGCCUGCUUGCUGUUUCCAUAAAUAACAGGAAAGCUGUCCGCUGAGAUCAGCCCAACAGCUGCUCAAACAAGACUUCCCCUGUCCUGCAUCCCUCUUGUCAUUACCAUGGCUAAAAAGUCAGCAGAUGUAGCUUUUAGAAGUACAUAGACACUGUCAACAGAAUUAUCAGCUCUUUGUCCCUGUCCCAAACCAUGGGGAAAUGAUAGUUUAUGGAGUAUUCGUGUUAAAAUUUAACAAGAAGUAAAUUUGGUAGGAUAAAACUAUAUUCUGCGUUUCCUAACAGUUCAAGAACUCCUUUUUUAAGCCUGCCAAUAUGCUCUGAACUUCUCCUUUAAACUCAGCAAUUUACAGCCAGACAGAAAGCCAAGUGAAUGAAGCAAUCGCUUUAUUGGAGCCUGCAGAUGUUGCAUCACAAUUUUUAAAGAGAGGUGUUCAGGAUAAAAAUUUUUGACUGCUAAUUAAAGAUAAAAUUUUGAGGAUUCAUGUAUCAUAUUCAGAGUGCCCUUUUUAUGUUUCGUCAAGGUAAAAUAUUGUGAUUACAAAUGUAUAUAUACACACACAGAUUUACACACUACUCUGUGCUAGCUGUAUUAAAUUAUAAAACAGAUUGAUGUUAUCAUCACUUUGAUUAAGAAGAAUCUCCCGGACUUUGGCAAUUUCAAUACUAAAUGAGAAACUGAAUCCCAAACUGGUGAGGUUUCAAGUGCUUCAAUGAAUUUGUCUCCUGGAUAAAUCUAAUCUCAGCUUAUUAAAAGAUGUUCUGUUCAUGAGA